RNAcentral lists this transfer RNA (90 nucleotides) under Ancylobacter defluvii. RNAcentral describes it as "tRNA-Ile". Lineage: Bacteria; Pseudomonadati; Pseudomonadota; Alphaproteobacteria; Hyphomicrobiales; Xanthobacteraceae. The record is from RNAcentral.
GUUGGCGUAGCCGAGAUUGACGCAGCUAUGCCCCGAUGCGGCAUCCAGGAGCCGCUGUCCUGCCUCGGUGGUGAUCCAAGCGCCGGCGCC